AUGAAGGCACCGACUUGUGAAGAUAUUUCAAAGGGUAGAAGCGAAUGGGGGGACAAGUACCCACCAUUCGUUGGCCUAUCUCAUGAUGAACCGUCUAAGGAGAGUAUUGAGAUGUUCUAUACUAACAUGAUGCAGUGCCCCGAUACAGUGCUCAAAAGGAAAUGGGUGGAGCACUUCCAUCCAAUCCUGGCAGUGGCAUCUGGACAGGAAAUUAAGGAUGAACUCACUCCAGGUGGUGGUGUGUCGUUUAACCUCAUGCGAUGCAUAGUGCGCGCACUAGUGGUGAAAGAUAACAAAAUGUACAAAGGCUGGCUGGACCGCUGGAGAGGGCUCUUUGAUCCUAGAUUUGUGGAUGAGGUCUGUAAGGAAGAUGCUGAAAAGGACUGGGAUUACAUUUACAUCAUGAUGGACUCUAAGUUGUGGGUUACAAAAUUGAAUGGCUGA
Molecule: ribosomal RNA, 444 nt
Filed under: Triticum aestivum (bread wheat)
Lineage: Eukaryota; Viridiplantae; Streptophyta; Magnoliopsida; Poales; Poaceae
Description: partial small subunit ribosomal RNA
Source: RNAcentral